AUGCAGCAACGCCGCGUUGCCCGAGGACGGCCUUCGGGUUGUAAAGGGCUUUUCUGGCUGACGAGGAAGGACGGUAGGCCAGGAAUAAGCGUCGGCUAACUACGUGCCAGCAGCCGCGGUAAAACGUAGGUGGCAAGCGUUGUCCGGAAUUAUUGGGCGUAAAGAGCUCGUAGGCGGUUUGUCGCGUCUGCUGUGAAAACCCGAGGCUCAACCUCGGGCCUGCAGUGGGUACGGGCAGACUAGAGUGUGGUAGGGGAGACUGGAAUUCCUGGUGUAGCGGUGGAAUGCGCAGAUAUCAGGAGGAACACCGGUGGCGAAGGCGGGUCUCUGGGCCGAUACUGACGCUNANGAGCGAAAGCGUGGGGAGCGAACAGGAUUAGAUACCCUGGUAGUCCACGCCGUAAACGUUGGGCGCUAGGUGUGGGUGACAUUCCACGUUGUCCGUGCCGUANCUAACGCAUUAAGCGCCCCGCCUGGGGAGUACGGCCGCAAGGCUA
Molecule: ribosomal RNA, 497 nt
Filed under: uncultured bacterium
Lineage: Bacteria
Description: bacterial SSU rRNA
Rfam family: Bacterial small subunit ribosomal RNA
Source: RNAcentral